Molecule: signal recognition particle RNA, 290 nt
Filed under: Macaca mulatta (Rhesus monkey)
Lineage: Eukaryota; Metazoa; Chordata; Mammalia; Primates; Cercopithecidae
Description: Metazoan signal recognition particle RNA (ENSMMUG00000059244.1)
Rfam family: Metazoan signal recognition particle RNA
About the family: The signal recognition particle (SRP) is a universally conserved ribonucleoprotein. It is involved in the co-translational targeting of proteins to membranes.
Source: Rfam by way of RNAcentral
GCUGGGCGUGGUGGUGGGCACCUGUAAUCCCAGCUACUUGGGAGGCUGAGGCAGGAGAAUCCCUUGAACCUGGGAGGUGGAGAUUGCAGUGAGCUGAGAUCGCGCCACUGCAGUCCAGCCUGGGUGACAAAGCGAGACUCUGUCUCAAAAAAAAAAAAAAAAAGUGUAAUAAAAUACACAUAGCAUAAAAUGUAUCAUUUUAACCCCGUCUCCCAGGCUGGAGUGCAGUGGCGUGAUCUCAGCUCACUGCAAUCUCCACCUCCCAGGUUCAAGGGAUUCUCCUGCCUCAG